GACGGGGGAUGCAAGUGUUAUCCGGAAUCACUGGGCGUAAAGCGUCUGCAGGUGGUUUCCUAAGUCCACUGUUAAACCUUGAGGCUCAACCUCAAAUCUGCAGUGGAAACUAGGGAACUUGAGGAUAGUAGGGGUAGAGGGAAUUUCCAGUGGAGCGGUGAAAUGCGUAGAUAUUGGAAAGAACACCGAUGGCGAAGGCACUCUACUGGGCUAUGACUGACACUCAGAGACGAAAGCUAGGGGAGCAAAUGGG
This 253-nucleotide ribosomal RNA is filed under the name uncultured bacterium. RNAcentral describes it as "partial 16S ribosomal RNA". It matches the Rfam family "Bacterial small subunit ribosomal RNA", at positions 524 to 776 of the family's 1533-position model. The record is from RNAcentral. RNAcentral also lists the same sequence under 1 other name.